RNAcentral lists this ribosomal RNA (519 nucleotides) under Hyperolius molleri (Moller's gulf frog). Its description in RNAcentral is "partial 16S ribosomal RNA". It matches the Rfam family "Bacterial large subunit ribosomal RNA", at positions 1814 to 2561 of the family's 2925-position model. Lineage: Eukaryota; Metazoa; Chordata; Amphibia; Anura; Hyperoliidae. The record is from RNAcentral.
CAUCGCCUCUUGUUAAUCUAUAAGAGGUCCUGCCUGCCCAGUGAUUAAUUUAACGGCCGCGGUACAUUAACCGUGCAAAGGUAGCAUAAUCAAUUGUCCUUUAAAUAAGGACUAGUAUGAAUGGCACCACGAGGGUUUAACUGUCUCCCCCUUUUAAUCAAUGAAAUUAAUCUUCCCGUGAAGAAGCGGGAAUAAAACUAUAAGACGAAAAGACCCCAUGGAGCUUUAAACUUAUUAGCAUUUAUCUUAUUUACAUAACAAUUUACACAAUAACACUGCUUAAAUGUUUUCGGUUGGGGCGACCCUGGAGAAAAAUAAAUCCUCCAGAUUGAAAAGCAAUAACCCUUAUAUAAGAACCACAAUUCAAAUAAACAAAAAUUUGACAAAACUGAUCCAGAACUAACUGAUCAAUGAACCAAGUUACCCUGGGGAUAACAGCGCAAUCCAUUUUAAGAGCUCCUAUCGACAAAUGGGCUUACGACCUCGAUGUUGGAUUAGGGUAUCCCAGCAGCGCAGCAG